AGGAGGAACAAUCACAGUGGCGUGGCCAGCUAUGGAGCCCUGGAUUCAGCUCCUGCAGUAACUACAGAGCUCUCAGUCUGUAGGGGCCUGGAUGCUCCCGGGGCGGG
This 107-nucleotide microRNA precursor is filed under the name Canis lupus familiaris (dog). Its description in RNAcentral is "mir-8834 microRNA precursor family". It matches the Rfam family "mir-8834 microRNA precursor family". The record is from Rfam by way of RNAcentral. Lineage: Eukaryota; Metazoa; Chordata; Mammalia; Carnivora; Canidae. RNAcentral also lists the same sequence under 1 other name.